This 29-nucleotide small RNA is filed under the name Bombyx mori (domestic silkworm). Its description in RNAcentral is "ovarian small RNA-23908". Lineage: Eukaryota; Metazoa; Arthropoda; Insecta; Lepidoptera; Bombycidae. The record is from RNAcentral.
UAUGAUCAGAGUGUUUAACGAAAGUGAGC